This is a long non-coding RNA of Pseudoliparis swirei, 864 nucleotides long. RefSeq lists it as uncharacterized. The record is from RefSeq and is a predicted model, not a curated record. The transcript has 2 exons. Lineage: Eukaryota; Metazoa; Chordata; Actinopteri; Perciformes; Liparidae.
CAACUUCCAACGAGGGAAUUCAAAGUGCGGGACUUGGGAUGUGCGCAAUGCGUGAGAGUUGACAGACCUACACAAACAGGGCGACUAUCACAGAAGAGGCCGAGGCAUCAAAUGGCUCUCGUCGCAGGCUGUAUAUCUGGUAAGAUCUCCAUGGUGUCCAGAACACCAGUCCUCAUGUCUUUGGUGAUCCCACGACAUCACAUCACAUUUAGCAGACGCUUUAAUCCAAAGAGACUUACAAUAAGUGAAUUCAACCAUGAGUACAAACUCAGAACAUCAAGAAAGUAAAAUUUCUUCAAGAAAGGCAAACUACAAAAUACCACCAGUACUACCACCAGUACUACCACCAGUAAGUGUCAUUCAAAUGCCACUGAAGUGCUAAUCUGUUUUAAUUCAAGUUAUAGCCAGAAAAGAUGCGUUUUAGGAGCUCGUUCCUAAACGAGGAGCUCGGCGGAUGUCCGCUACAUUAUUAACCUGCAUAUUGAAAACCACAUAAUCAGCCCUUUGGUUUAAAUUGAAGUGGAUGACUGUCGCCUUGUCUUUGUAAUCCACUCUGCCUCGCUCCCUUUUUACAGCAGAAGACCAAAAUCACCUGACGUUCUGACGAGCAGCACUCCAAACAAUAAUUCAAUUUGUCAGCGCUUUGCAUCUCUGUUCUCGCUCACAAGCACACGUCUACUUUCAAUCAAGCCAAAGCAAACCACACGGAGAGAGCAGGAGGCACAGAGGCAGAGAGAGGAGGAGGGAGGAAACCGUCUCCGAGCCCAGCAGCGUACACUACAUUCAUGCAGCUUCACAUCUUUUCAUGUACAACCAUGUUUUUGACAGGAAGUCGGUUUAAAAACAUAAACCAGAGUUUAGCUU